Molecule: ribosomal RNA, 436 nt
Filed under: uncultured marine bacterium
Lineage: Bacteria
Description: bacterial SSU rRNA
Rfam family: Bacterial small subunit ribosomal RNA
Source: RNAcentral
UAGAGUUUGAUCAUGGCUCAGGAUGAACGCUAGCGGCAGGCCUAAUACAUGCAAGUCGAGGGGUAAGAGUCAGCUUGCUGACUACACGACCGGCGCACGGGUGAGUAACGCGUAUGCAACCUACCUUUAACAGAGGAAUAGCCCCGAGAAAUCGGGAUUAAUACCACAUAACAUUAUGAUAUGGCAUCAUAUUAUAAUUAAAACUCUGGUGGUUAAAGAUGGGCAUGCGUGACAUUAGCUUGUUGGUGAGGUAACUGCUCACCAAGGCAACGAUGUCUAGGGGUUCUGAGAGGAUGAUCCCCCACACUGGUACUGAGACACGGACCAGACUCCUACGGGAGGCAGCAGUAAGGAAUAUUGCGCAAUGGAGGAAACUCUGACGCAGCCAUGCCGCGUGCAGGAUUGAAGGCCUUAUGGGUCGUAAACUGCUUUUAUU